CACAUGCAGUCGAGCGGCAGCACGGGAGCUUGCUCCUGGUGGCGAGCGGCGGACGGGUGAGUAAUGCCUAGGAAUCUGCCUGUUAGUGGGGGAUAACUCGGGGAAACUCGAGCUAAUACCGCAUACGUCCUACGGGAGAAAGUGGGGGACCUUCGGGCCUCACGCUAACAGAUGAGCCUAGGUCGGAUUAGCUAGUUGGUGGGGUAAAGGCCUACCAAGGCGACGAUCCGUAGCUGGUCUGAGAGGAUGAUCAGCCACACUGGAACUGAGACACGGUCCAGACUCCUACGGGAGGCAGCAGUUGGGAAUAUUGGACAAUGGGCGCAAGCUGAUCCAGCCAUGCCGCGUGUGUGCAAGAAGGUCUUCGGAUUGUAAAGCACUUUAAGUUGGGAGGAAGGGCGCUURGCUAAUACCCAASRGUUUUGACGUUACCAACAGAAUAAGCACCGGCUAACUUCGUGCCARCAGCCGCGGUAAUACGAAGGGUGCSAGCCUUAAUCGGRAAUUACUGGGCGUAAAGCGCGCGUAGGCGGUUUGUUAAGUUGGAGGUGAAAUCCCCGGGCUCAACCUGGGAAGUGCCUCCAAAACUGGCUGACUAGAGUACGGUAGAGGGUGGUGGAAUUUCCUGUKUAGCGGUGAAAUGCGURGAUAUAGGKGGGACCACCARUUGCGAGGCG
Molecule: ribosomal RNA, 677 nt
Filed under: bacterium CA-13
Lineage: Bacteria
Description: bacterial SSU rRNA
Rfam family: Bacterial small subunit ribosomal RNA
Source: RNAcentral